AGAGUUCUUAAUUAUGCGUCAUAUUUUCUGGUGAAUGGCCACUAGAGAGGAGAUAAAGCAUCCAUUACAGUUUUUGGAACUAAGGAUAAUUAUUCAAUGAAACCAAGCUUGGAAAUCUUCAUCAGGAGUAUAUUUUUCACUGUCUACCAUGAAUCAAAACUCCUCUGUCCAUGGAGAGGAUGUGUGACAAAGUGAUUGCUUCAAAAUGAUAAUAAAAGACCAUUGUGGCAUUAUCAACCAUGGGAGGGCUGCUGGAGAAUUGCAGAGAAGAGGAAUAUGGCCUCUCAGACAAGACAUCAGCCAACAAGCCAUCAAACCGCAAAAUUAGCUUCUGUUUGUUUUUCCACUUGCUGACAAUGUCUUUGGGCAUCUAGGAGAUAAAAUAUCAUUAAAAAAACCUGCAAGAAAUAGAUUUCCUCAACAUGCAAUCAAAUACCCUCUCCACUGCAAAUAUUUCUUAAGCCUG
This is a non-coding RNA of Zonotrichia albicollis (white-throated sparrow), 466 nucleotides long. NCBI's taxonomy places the organism in Eukaryota, Metazoa, Chordata, Aves, Passeriformes, Passerellidae. The record is from RefSeq and is a predicted model, not a curated record.